UAGGGACAUAUGUUCUUAGAGUAGAUGAACUCCAUUUCACCAAAAUCCUAGGCUUUUAACCACCUACACAUCCUUCGAUUCAUCCAUUUACCAAACCAGAUGUGAGGACAGGGAGGUACUGGCAUGCAUGUGUGUAUUGGGUGUCAGGAGUAGUUCUGACUCACUCUCCAGAUUUCAGUGGCUGGAGCCCCUGUUUGCUGCUGACCAGUCUGCCUGGUACUGCUCGGCACACUUCCUUUGUGCUGCUGCUGCCUCCGCUCUGAGCAAGUCCCGAGCUCUAAAGCCUGAGCCGGCUGCCCCUUUCAGCAUAGCCUGCUCCGUGGCUGCCCAGCCUUGUUUUGUGGUUUCUCCUCGCAGGCUGUGCCUUCACCUCUCCAGAGACCGAUGGGACAGCCUGGCCUGCAGCCCUGGAGAGUGUGCCCACCUGGCAGCCUGGCUCCCCUGCCAACACCUCUGCUGCUGCCUAGCAAGUCCUCUGGUGGGCUGCUCUAUGGAGCCGAGUUGCAGCAGGGACUCCGCCAGAAAGAGCAUCCUGAAAGCUGUGCUGCCCUGCCUCUAUUCCCACUGCACAGCUGCCUUCCUCCUCCUCCAUGCUGCGCCUGCCCACUUGCCUCCUUUGCCAGCACAGAAUCGUGCACAUCACCGGGAAGCCGGACUGCAUAGCAUGUGUUCCGUUUUCUGCCUGUAAAGUUUCUCGGCUGUUACCUAGCCACGGGUCUCCCAAUCUGCACAGAGUUUCCCAAAACUGCUCGCUAAUUCUCUGUACAAACUGCUUAGAAUCUUUCAGUUAUUAUUUGGAAGAAUACCGAGGAUUUGUGGCAGAGCUGUGUUGGGCAGUAUACCUCCACCAUCUGCUGGCCAAGGACACUGACUGCAGCUCUUGCAGUGUAAAUGCUUUGGCAUCGGAUAUGGCCUUGUCAUGUCUCUGAGAAAUCAGGACCACAUUUCUGGAGAGAUUAUUUGAGAGGAGCCAGGAAAGGAUCCUAGCAUUUCAACAAAGGUCCUCCAGUUCCUCCAGUCCCUCCAGGCACUAAUGCCUCUGCCUUCUGGUCCGGACAGAGUACAGUCUCGGGCUCUCCAAGGAGACUUGCUGCUCACUGCCAAGAGAAUUUGCUCUUUGAAAGCAAACACGGAAGAGCCAGAGAAUGUCCACCAGGAACAGAUUCAAGAACCACAAGAGAUCAAAGCCAAGCAUCAAAAUGAAGGCAAAGACUGGUUCUUGGAUUCUACAAAAGAGCAGACUGAGCAAGCCAAGGGAGACAGCCAGUAAACAGCACCAUUCCAUGGCCUCUAUAUCUGCUUCUGCCUCCAAGUUCAAAUCCUGUUUGAGUCACUGCCCUGACUGUCUUCCCUGGAGAACAGCAACAUGAAAGUGUGAGCCAAAUUUCUUUCACAACUCGUUGUCACAUCAUGGUGUUUCAUGUCAGCAGUAUAAACCCUAACUGAGACAGCCUGUGAGGAACCAGGAUUGCUCUGUUCAUAUGCAAAUGUGGGCGUUGGGUAUUUUAAUUCAGUGAGGCCAAUCCCUGACAAGAUAUACUCACAAAUUCACCUCAUCUUUCCUCUGUGCAAAACCUAGAAAGAGAAAUACAGUUCACAGCAUAUGAAGCCCGUAGUCCUGAGAAGCAGAUACCUUAUGAAGAAUCAACUAGGACGCCAGUUCUGGGCUCUCUACAGCCUGGAGCAGUUGCAUUAAUAUUCUUGCAGGGUCCAGGAUUUAGAUUUGUGAUUUUGGAAUAACCUACUCCUUAAAUUCAAGCUAACUACUUGAUCUGUUGCUAAACAAAAGAACAUAGCCCCUUCAUUUGCUAAAGGAAAAACUUGGCUUCCUUUGGAAUAGUUGUGUCUGUUCCCAAUGAAUAAAGUCAUCAGAGUAGGAUCCAGGAUGCUUGGGAAAAGGAGUGGAUGAUUCUGAAUGAUUUUCAUUGUAGGUGAUUUUUUUUUCACCCUCCAACUUAGAGCCCAUCAGACUGCUACAUCUCAUUUUUUUUAUAACGAUUGCAUUUAUCUAAGAACUCCUGUGACAAUAAUAUAGUAUGACUAAAUGCUCAAGACCUCUGAUUUUAUCUCUUUGGCUGCCUGUAAAGGUCCUGAGAACAAAACUAUCUGGGCUUUCAUCAGUCUCUUGUUAUGAUUUGUAAAUUCAUGUGUGAGGCCUUAGCUGCAUUUAGUUCCAUGAUUCAAGUUGUAUGGGACUCUUAUUUGUCUCUGGGGUCUGUUUGCUCUUAUCUAUUUGGAAGCAAUAAGAGAAGUGUUUUAUGUGGUGACACUAGUGAUACAUAUUGAUAUACAUAUCACACAUUGUGGUUCAGAAUGGACAGCUGUUCUCUGCAGUGUCUCCUGGGAAGGUAACCCCAGACUAAGCCCCACUUUGAUCUCCAUGUGACAUAUACAGGAAGAACCUAGAAAACCUAUUUUUCCUUGGCCAGUCUGCUACCUGAGAUACACAAAGUAUAUCUCAGUACCAUAUGGAGUGUAAGGGAACACCAGUUUAAGGUGAUAUAACUCCAUGUCAUGCCACUGGUUUAAUAGCAACGUUCAAAAUUGCUUGUGUUCCUACCAUGCUCAUGAAAUCUGCUUUAGUGCUCCCAUAUAACCUGGGAUGGAAAUGGAAAACUGUAAAUUAAGAGAUAAAAGUUUACAAUUGGUAGGAACAUCAAAUGUUUCUUUCACCAACCCAGUUAUUUUUAUGAUGUAGUGUGGCCUCGUGACAGAUGUACAAUUGUAUAAAUAGCUAUGCAAUCCUGGAGACUAGAUCAGGUUCCAUCUUCUUUGGUGAGUAAUGGUGUUUACAGGUUCCUCACAAGGUAGAUGAGGGCAGAAUACUCACCCACUGAUUGUUUACUGAAUGCAGGACUCACAGUUGAACAAGAAAGAAUAAAACCUCAGGUCUAUCUCUGCAGGGUUUUUAUUUUUUUUCAUUCUUGUCAAGAUCAUUUAAGGGCCCACAGUACUCACAGAACAACAUCAAAUGGUGGCCUUUAAUAAUAACCAGAGUCACAUUGUGAAUCAUGUGUACACAAACAUUGCUUGCUAUUGUUGUGAAAAUAAUUGCAGGUACUGCAAUGAGCCCAUUUUCCCAACUAACUUCCCUGACUACAGAUGUAUUGAGGAAGAGUUCCUAGAUGCCCUGAGAGUCAGUGACAUAUCAAUGAUCUUCCAGGCUGCCAAACCCCAGCUCCACCCAUCUGCACUGCUUUGCAAUAGUUGAGAGACUAUAUUAAUUGCCCCUCCUUGAUGGUAAGGUUGAUGACUACCUUAUAUGACAUCCUUAGAACCUUC
Molecule: long non-coding RNA, 3282 nt
Organism: Mesocricetus auratus (golden hamster)
Lineage: Eukaryota; Metazoa; Chordata; Mammalia; Rodentia; Cricetidae
Exons: 4
Source: RefSeq, a predicted model, not a curated record